GCGGGCCGUGAGAGCGGGAGCCCGGAGAAUGGGCACUGAGACAAGGGCCCAGGCCCUACGGGGCGCAGCAGUCGCGAAAACUUUGCAAUAAGCGAAAGCUUCGACAGGGCUAUCCCGAGUGCCAUCCGCUGAGGAAGGCUUUUACCCAGUCUAGAACGCUGGGGGAAUAAGGAGAGGGCAAGUCUGGUGUCAGCCGCCGCGGUAAUACCAGCUCUCCAGUGUGUGGAUGUUAUUGGGCUAAAGAUCCGUACUGGCUAGGUCAGUCCCUUGUAAAUCCCCGAAUAAUCGUUGGAUUGCGGGGGAACUGCUUGGCUAGGGGACAGAGAGGCAACGGUAUUUCGGGUAGGGUGAAUCCUAUAUCCCGGGAAAACACCAGU
RNAcentral lists this ribosomal RNA (377 nucleotides) under uncultured crenarchaeote. RNAcentral's name for it is "bacterial SSU rRNA". It matches the Rfam family "Archaeal small subunit ribosomal RNA", at positions 268 to 664 of the family's 1478-position model. Lineage: Archaea; Thermoproteati; Thermoproteota. The record is from RNAcentral.